This is a ribosomal RNA of Nocardiopsis sp. NRRL B-16309, 79 nucleotides long. The record is from Rfam. Lineage: Bacteria; Bacillati; Actinomycetota; Actinomycetes; Streptosporangiales; Nocardiopsidaceae.
CGUGGUGGUUAUGGUGGGAGGGUCACACCCGGUCUCAUUCCGAACCCGGUCGUUAAGUCUCCUUGCGCUGAUGGUACUG